Molecule: long non-coding RNA, 424 nt
Filed under: Capsicum annuum
Lineage: Eukaryota; Viridiplantae; Streptophyta; Magnoliopsida; Solanales; Solanaceae
Description: long non-coding RNA (CANN_LNC001168)
Source: RNAcentral
UCUCUUUCUCUUUCUAAUCUCUCUCUAAACUCCCUCCGGUCGGUGACCAGUGAAACCAUUGCUACCGCCACCGUCGUCAAUGUAUUCUCUGCUCUAGUCUCUUUCCAAAGCCUCCUGUCACCAGCACCGAUAGCCACGCCUCCAGCCACCAUUCCAACCGCCGUCAUUGCCAGUACCUUCAGCAUCGCCAGCUACCAGGCAGCCGAUGAUCCUCCCUCUCUGCUAUCGCUUCAUUCUCCGCCUUCCAGAUCUGCCUCGCCAGUCGGCUACCAGCCGCGCCUCCAAUAGCGCUCCCUCAACUGGCAAAAUCUCCCACCAGUCGCGCCGCCAAUGAUGCUAAAUCUGAUGGCUGCUUCGCUCUAGCCAUUUCUUACUCUUUUGUCCCCUCUUCGAUGACUUCCCCACAAUGAUACCUACAGCAGAC